This 164-nucleotide ribosomal RNA is filed under the name uncultured bacterium. RNAcentral describes it as "partial 16S ribosomal RNA". It matches the Rfam family "Bacterial small subunit ribosomal RNA", at positions 1337 to 1500 of the family's 1533-position model. The record is from RNAcentral.
AGUAAUCGUGGAUCAGCAUGCCACGGUGAAUACGUUCCCGGGCCUUGUACACACCGCCCGUCACACCAUGAGAGCCGGGAACACCCGAAGUCCGUAGUCUAACCGCAAGGAGGACGCAGUCGAAGGUGGGAUUGAUGACUGGGGUGAAGUCGUAACAAGGUACC